AUUUUUUUAUGCAAUAGACAAAUAAUAUAAAUUUUUCAAGUUAGUUUUUAUGGUUUGGUGUGCUAACAGUUAUGGCUUAGUAACUAAGUUACAAAAAUGAAAUACACUAAGUUAGUGUGUUUCAUUUUAAAUUAUCUUUUUUGAGCAAAUCUCAAUGACACUUUACAAAACAUGAGUUGGUUUGUGUUGAUUUAUGAUUAACAACAGAAAAUGCAUUAAUUCAGCAAAUGUUAGUUUAUUACACAUUAGUUAUAUAAUCUCCUAUGAAAUGGUUCAUCUACAUCUAGUACAAUCAAAAUGUUGGUUUGAUGUCAGGUUAAUUUGAGUCAAAACUUUAAUUUUUAAAUGAUUCCCUGCAGGAUGCCUGUUAAAAAGAAAAACUGAAGAAACUUUAAAACUAGAUGAUGCCAAAUAAAGAAGUUGAAACACCGUUAUUCAUGGUGUCAUAUCCAUGUAAAAGUGGAUGAAAGCACUAAAAAAAACGACAACAAUAAACUUUAAAGCAGAAUUUUGUCAUGCGAUUAUGGUGGCGAUAUGAGAGAACUAAUGUGGCAGAAUAUUACUAUCGUAGAACAGUUUUGCAUCAAAUCAUUGUAUAAUAUUAGUUUUUUGUUGCUUAAAAAUAUUAUGAAAUUCAAA
Long non-coding RNA from Hydra vulgaris (swiftwater hydra), 639 nucleotides. RefSeq lists it as uncharacterized. NCBI's taxonomy places the organism in Eukaryota, Metazoa, Cnidaria, Hydrozoa, Anthoathecata, Hydridae. The record is from RefSeq and is a predicted model, not a curated record.